AUGUCUUACACUUGGAGAGGAGCUCUGCAAUGGUGGGACGAUUGGCAACUGCGUGUCCUCGUCCUGGGCAGCCUGGGCCUUCAGUGGUUCCUCCUGCUGGCUGCCCCGAUGCGCAAGUACGCCCUCCCGCGCGUCUUGAGGACAUUCAUCUGGCUGGCGUAUAUUUCCAGCGAUCCUCUGGCAAUCUACGUGCUCGCCACCCUCUUCAAUCGCCACGCAAAGACCAGCAACUUUGGCGGUGACACCGACAUUGUCGCCGGGAUCGGGAGCGAGCAGCAGUCGAGCAUCCUGGAGGUCCUAUGGGCUCCUAUCCUUCUCAUCUACCUCGGUGGGCAGGAGGGAAUGAGUGGCUACGAGAUAGAGGACAACAAGCUGUGGGGGAGACACACCGUGACCUUGGUGUCCCAGGUGGCCGUCGCCUUGUACGCCUUCUACAAGUCGUGGCCUAGACCCAACGACCCAAAGCUAUUGGUGGUCGCGGUUCUUCUCUUCUUCGUCGGGGUCAUCAGCUUCAGCGAGAAGCCAUGGGCUCUCAAAGCUAAAGCCAAGAGACUGGCGGCUGUAUCGUCCGGGGUGCAAGUACCAAAGAAGCCUUCAAACUGGAGGGAGCGCAUGAACCAGUUUUUCUUCGGGGCGAGCCACUGCUUCACCGGCACCCGGAAGGCACAAAGUAAUUUUUCAACCAAUUUAGCUAUGUGUAAGUUGCCUGAAAAUCCAAUUUGGUCCUCCUACAUGGCGCACCUGCUGAAUUUCAAUCCCGAGAUGCUUCUGUCCGGCAGCAGGCAGCAUCUCAUCUCCGAGGCCAUGGAGGAGAUCAAGUCCUCCUUUUUGUCGAACGAGCAUGAGUUGAGCCAAAAAGAGCAACCCAAGGGGCUCAUUGCCGCCAUGGCGGAGGGUGAGCACAAGUCAGCCAAUGGAGAUGAUGACACAAGCCAAGGUUUCGUCCACAUCACAGAGGCAUGCAAGCUGGCCAAAGAGCUGUUGGAGCUGCCGGACCCUAAGACGCGGUGGAUGCUCAUGUACCGGGUGUGGCUGGGCAUGCUCUGCCACUCCGCCAGCAUGUGCAGGGGCUACCUGCACGCCAAGAGCUUGGGUGAAGGUGGCGAGUUCCUCACUUACGCCUGGCUCGUGCUCAUGCUCAAGGGGGCCAAGAGCUUGGCCGACAAGCUUCAAACGCCGCCGGAGACUCAAGCUUGUGAUUUUCUGGUAAUUCGACCAAAGUGUGCUGGAAAAAGAAACCAAAAACUUUCUGCAAUUUUCCUAGAGUAUUCUGUUCUUUCAGCAAUAGCAGGUGAUGAAGAAGAGAAAAGGUAG
This 1314-nucleotide ribosomal RNA is filed under the name Triticum aestivum (bread wheat). RNAcentral's name for it is "partial small subunit ribosomal RNA". The record is from RNAcentral. Lineage: Eukaryota; Viridiplantae; Streptophyta; Magnoliopsida; Poales; Poaceae.